CAGCAACGCCGCGUGGGGAGUGACGGCCUCGGUUGUAACCUCUUUCUUGGGACGAUAAUGACGGUACCCGAGGAAUAAGUCACGGCUAACUACGUGC
This 97-nucleotide ribosomal RNA is filed under the name uncultured bacterium. RNAcentral's name for it is "partial 16S ribosomal RNA". The record is from RNAcentral.